UACGGAGGGUGCGAGCGUUAAUCGGAAUUACUGGGCGUAAAGCGCUCGUAGGCGGCUUGUUAAGUCGGAUGUGAAAGCCCCGGGCUCAACCUGGGAACUGCAUUCGAUACUGGCAGGCUUGAGUAUAGUAGAGGCAAGUGGAAUUCCAGGUGUAGCGGUGAAAUGCGUAGAUAUCUGGAGGAACAUCAGUGGCGAAGGCGACUUGCUGGACUAAUACUGACGCUGAGGAGCGAAAGCGUGGGGAGCAAACGGG
This 253-nucleotide ribosomal RNA is filed under the name uncultured bacterium. RNAcentral describes it as "partial 16S ribosomal RNA". It matches the Rfam family "Bacterial small subunit ribosomal RNA", at positions 524 to 776 of the family's 1533-position model. The record is from RNAcentral.